Molecule: non-coding RNA, 867 nt
Filed under: Gemmula congener
Lineage: Eukaryota; Metazoa; Mollusca; Gastropoda; Neogastropoda; Turridae
Source: RNAcentral
CUGAUUUACAAAUAUGGCAAAAGCUAAAAAAUACACAUGGUUUUUAUAGAUAGAGGCGAGGUAGGAAAAUAAAAUAAAUAUAAACACAUAGUUUAUUUCUUUUUUUUCUUAAGGUAUUAUAGAUAUAAAGAAUGCCUUGAAAAGUCCCGUUAACACCAGUGUUGAAGUUUAAUUUAAAAAGUGAAAACUUGUAUUAAUUUAGUUAAUUAAAUUUGGUUAAUUUUGGUGCCAGCAUCCGCGGUUACACCGAGAAAUUAAGUCAUAUUAAAACGGUAAAAAGACAGUUAGACAUAAUUGAUUAAGGUUUAUUUGAUUUUUUAUAAAAAAGUAAAAUUUGCAUAUAAUUAUAUAAUUUGAUUAAAAACUGUAAAGUUGAAUCUGUGACGGCCUGGAGGGAAACUGGGAUUAGAUACCCCAUUAUUCCUGGAUGUAAAUAAAAUUUAAAUUUACCAGAGUACUAUGAAUAUAUAAAAUUUAAAACUCAAAGGACUUGGCGGUAUUUUAGACCAUUUAGGGGAACCUGUCUCAUAAUCGAUAGUCCACGCUACACCUAACCUUUUUUUGCUUUCAGCUUGUAUAUCGUUGUCGUCAGGUAACUUUUUAGAAAUUAGAAGUUAGCUAAAAACAGUAAAUUUAAACGUCAAAUCAAGGUGCAGUUAAUAAAAAGGUGAGGAUGGGUUACAAUUAUUUCAAUUAUAAUUACGGAAAAUCGUAAGAAUUGACGAUUCUAAGGAGGACUUAAAAGUAAAUUAGAUUAUAUAAAUAAUUUGAAUAAGGCUCUGAAAUGUGCACACAUCGCCCGUCGCUCUUGUUGGAAAAUAAGAUAAGUCGUAACAUAGUAGGGGUAAUGGAAAUUGCCCCUAAACU